UAGGGAAUCUUCGGCAAUGGACGGAAGUCUGACCGAGCAACGCCGCGUGAGUGAAGAAGGUUUUCGGAUCGUAAAGCUCUGUUGUAAGAGAAGAACGAGUGUGAGAGUGGAAAGCUCACACUGUGACGGUAUCUUACCAGAAAGGGACGGCUAACUACGUGCCAGCAGCCGCGGUAAUACGUAGGUCCCGAGCGUUGUCCGGAUUUAUUGGGCGUAAAGCGAGCGCAGGCGGUUAGAUAAGUCUGAAGUUAAAGGCUGUGGCUUAACCAUAGUAGGCUUUGGAAACUGUUUAACUUGAGUGCAAGAGGGGAGAGUGGAAUUCCAUGUGUAGCGGUGAAAUGCGUAGAUAUAUGGAGGAACACCGGUGGCGAAAGCGGCUCUCUGGCUUGUAACUGACGCUGAGGCUCGAAAGCGUGGGGAGCAAACAGGAUUAGAUACCCUGGUAGUCCACGCUGUAAACGAUGAGUGCUAGGUGUUAGACCCUUUCCGGGGUUUAGUGCCGUAGCUAACGCAUUAAGCACUCCGCCUGGGGAGUACGACCGCAAGGUUG
This 550-nucleotide ribosomal RNA is filed under the name uncultured bacterium. RNAcentral's name for it is "bacterial SSU rRNA". It matches the Rfam family "Bacterial small subunit ribosomal RNA", at positions 355 to 896 of the family's 1533-position model. The record is from RNAcentral.